AAUUUUUCUAUAGCUCUGAAUAAAAACACCCUGCCUGCUGAGAACAGUUGCUGGCUUAUGAAGUGACUUACUUGGGGACUUAAUACCUGUGGAGGAGCAUUGCCUGGAAGAGCUUGAAUAAAAUGCUGCAGCCAGCUGAAUCUGAAGCAUCAGAGGUCUGUUUUCAAAAGCAGCAACUCAGGAGCAUGCAAGAGAUGAACUGUUG
This is a long non-coding RNA of Nothoprocta perdicaria, 205 nucleotides long. RefSeq lists it as uncharacterized. Lineage: Eukaryota; Metazoa; Chordata; Aves; Tinamiformes; Tinamidae. The transcript has 3 exons. The record is from RefSeq and is a predicted model, not a curated record.